This 219-nucleotide unclassified non-coding RNA is filed under the name uncultured Tomentella. RNAcentral describes it as "sequence contains ITS2". Lineage: Eukaryota; Fungi; Basidiomycota; Agaricomycetes; Thelephorales; Thelephoraceae. The record is from RNAcentral.
ACACCUCAACCCUCGUGGUUCGCCACGAUCGGCUUGGACUUUGGAGGUUUUGCCGGCCCUGUGGUCGGCUCCUCUCAAACGAAUCAGCUUACCAGUGUUUGGUGGCGCCGCAGGUGUGAUAACUAUCUACGCUUGCGGCAGUCCGCCACGUGACCUUCAGCGAUGAGGGUGCUCUGGGGCUUACAGAUGUCUCUCCCGAGUGAAGACAGCUUUUUGAUC